AGGAGUCCGUUCUGGAAUCGUAGAUCUCCGUGGAGCACUCGUAGUCACCCCCGCAUUCGGACGUCCCGCCUGCGACGAUGAUCCUAUACCCGCUGCUGUCGUCGACUUGAAACACCCCGACGAGUGAGUUGAAUCGCUUGUAAGUCAUCUGAGGCAGCUCCUUCCAGGUCUGCAUGAUCGGGUUGCACACCGCCAGCAUCCCCAAGUUGCUGAGACCGGCUCGCAUGAAGAUGAGGCCUCCGAUGGCAGCCAGCGGGAACCUCAUAUAAGGUGGCAGGAAUGCGAGCGAGACAUUGAGCCACUUGUUGAGCGUGGGGCUGAAGGCACACGACUUGUCCCGGCAGUUAUAGGAGCAGGCAAGGAGCCAGGGGGCCUCCCUCGCGGGUGUGCUGCGGUAGACUCUCUGGAAGUUGCUCGACUUGAUCCGGGAGUUCCAGGACUUGCAGACGAGGCCGGCCGCCACCAGGCUCUCAAUUGGCAUGAAGGCGAACACCUUGUCCAUGAUGUCCUCGGGGAGGCUAUGCCAGAGUGGGAACGAAGGCUCGUGCUGCUCCUGGCCGCCAUCCAUGAUUCUCGCUCGGGAGCUCAUUGGUGUGACGGACGCACGUAGGCUGGCUGACUUGGGGGCAGGAGCAAUAAUUACAAGCUGCAAACGAGAAGAUCCAGGAUCAAACCACAAAGUAAAGGUGGUGCCGUGGAGGUGCGGGAAGGGGGAAAGUGCAAACCUUGAUUGCUGGGUGGGCCGGCACGAGAAGAAAGGCCACACCUGAUGAUGCUGCGUCCACCCUCCAACACCAGCAGCAGCAAGAGCAACGAUUGGAAGAAGAAGAGGGGUAGUAACAGUAACUGUACCAGCUAGAGAUCCGUCAACAAAGUCAUCUCCAGCAGCAGAGGACUCUGUGGUGGAGCAAGCGAGAAAAGAGCAAGCAGCAGUCAAGGACUUAUAUCUGCUGGGAAGCGGGGGGAGGAGGAGCAGACUUGGAGAGACGAGGAGGCGGUGUGAAAGCGAGGUGCUUGAGCAAGAGGAGCAAGGCUGGUCGUCGUCAAUCAUGCAGCAGCAGGAGCAGGGGGUGGGAGUGGACGCUUUCGGAGACAA
RNAcentral lists this long non-coding RNA (1096 nucleotides) under Selaginella moellendorffii. Its description in RNAcentral is "long non-coding RNA (SMOE_LNC002323)". Lineage: Eukaryota; Viridiplantae; Streptophyta; Lycopodiopsida; Selaginellales; Selaginellaceae. The record is from RNAcentral.